UACGGGAGGCAGCAGUGGGGAAUAUUGCACAAUGGGCGCAAGCCUGAUGCAGCCAUGCCGCGUGUAUGAAGAAGGCCUUCGGGUUGUAAAGUACUUUCAGUCGUGAGGAAGGUGUUAAGGUUAAUAACCUUAGCAAUUGACGUUAGCGACAGAAGAAGCACCGGCUAACUCCGUGCCAGCAGCCGCGGUAAUACGGAGGGUGCGAGCGUUAAUCGGAAUUACUGGGCGUAAAGGGCACGCAGGCGGUUAAUUAAGUUGGAUGUGAAAUCCCCGGGCUUAACCUGGGAAUGGCAUUCAAGACUGGUUAGCUAGAGUCUUGGUAGAGGGGGUAGAAUUCCAUGUGUAGCGGUGAAAUGCGUAGAGAUGUGGAGGAAUACCGGUGGCGAAGGCGGCCCCUGGGACAAAGACUGACGCUCAUGUGCGAAAGCGUGGGGAGCGAAACAGGGAUUAGAUACC
This 456-nucleotide ribosomal RNA is filed under the name uncultured bacterium. RNAcentral's name for it is "bacterial SSU rRNA". It matches the Rfam family "Bacterial small subunit ribosomal RNA", at positions 340 to 786 of the family's 1533-position model. The record is from RNAcentral.